This 347-nucleotide long non-coding RNA is filed under the name Trifolium pratense (red clover). RNAcentral describes it as "long non-coding RNA (TPRA_LNC012936)". Lineage: Eukaryota; Viridiplantae; Streptophyta; Magnoliopsida; Fabales; Fabaceae. The record is from RNAcentral.
GGCAAUGGGCUUAAGAAAGUAUCCAAUAAGCCCAAUUAGAGUAAAAAGGAUGAUAAGCCCAAAUCAAGUAAAACCUAAAAUACCCAAUAGGCGAUUAGAAGCUAGGGCGUGACCUGCAACUCUAAGGCAACGCCAAAAAAGGGUGGAUUCUGUGUUACUGUAAAUAUCUUCUCCUUCCUUGUAUCAACCGCUAACUUAAGAGGGAAGAUAUAAACUUCUCAUAACUGCCAUAGCUUGGAGACCAAGGUCCUCAUCCCUACUUUCACGCUAUGUUACCCAAGAAGGCGCUGCGGACCGAAUUUCUAGGAACCCUAACUUGGAGAAGAAGACUAGAGGCUCUAUAAAUA